This 253-nucleotide ribosomal RNA is filed under the name uncultured bacterium. RNAcentral describes it as "partial 16S ribosomal RNA". It matches the Rfam family "Bacterial small subunit ribosomal RNA", at positions 524 to 776 of the family's 1533-position model. The record is from RNAcentral.
GACGUAGGGCGCGAGCGUUGUCCGGAUUUAUUGGGCGUAAAGAGCUCGUAGGCGGCUUGUUGCGUCAGCUGUGAAAACCCGCAGCUCAACUGUGGGCUUGCAGCUGAUACGGGCAGGCUUGAGUUCGGUAGGGGAGACUGGAAUUCCCGGUGUAGCGGUGAAAUGCGCAGAUAUCAGGAGGAACACCGGUGGCGAAGGCGGGUCUCUGGGCCGAUACUGACGCUGAGGAGCGAAAGCGUGGGGAGCGAACAGG